GGUUUAAUAUCACAGAGCUAGAAGCUAGUUUCAGCAGAACCAGAAUUAGAAUCUGGACUUCUGUGCCUUACUAAGUUUUAUUAGCAUUCAUUGUGUCUUACUCUUUUGACUUAUUUAAUUCACUAAUGGAUUUUAAUGGUUUAUUGGAUUGUAUGCUGGUGCAGUUCUUUGAUCUUGAGCCUAGCUUUCUCUUUCUCCUUUUUUGGGAACUUUAUUGUGUAUGUUGUGGCAUGUUUACACACACAUCUUGCUGCCUUGGGUUCUUGCAAGUUGUGUGCGUGUUUUAUCUGCCCCUACUAGCUUUUAGGUGUCUUGAGAGCAUGACUCUGGCUUACUCAUCUGUCUAUUCCAGAAGACCUUGUCUGUUCUUGGCAUUUAUUAACUAAUUUUCUAAGACUGGGUUGAAGUAGUUGCAUGUCAAGUUUAUAUCAGCUGUUAAAUACCUUUCUGGAAAAACUGGCUGUAAAAUAAACUCAACCAGGAAAAAAAAAAAAAAA
This 497-nucleotide long non-coding RNA is filed under the name Homo sapiens (human). Its description in RNAcentral is "non-protein coding lnc-SRD5A3-4:1". The record is from RNAcentral. Lineage: Eukaryota; Metazoa; Chordata; Mammalia; Primates; Hominidae.